AGGACGAACGCUGGCGGCGUGCUUAACACAUGCAAGUCGAGCGACAGACUCCUUCGGGGGUUAUGGAGCGGCGAACGGGUGAGUAACACGUGGGUAACCUGCCCUUGGCUUUGGGAUAACUCCGGGAAACCGGGGCUAAUACCGAAUAUUCGCACUUGAAGGCAUCUUUGGGUGUGGAAAGUUUUUCGGCUGAGGAUGGGCCCGCGGCCUAUCAGCUUGUUGGUGGGGUGAUGGCCUACCAAGGCGGUGACGGGUA
This 256-nucleotide ribosomal RNA is filed under the name uncultured bacterium. RNAcentral describes it as "partial small subunit ribosomal RNA". It matches the Rfam family "Bacterial small subunit ribosomal RNA", at positions 26 to 285 of the family's 1533-position model. The record is from RNAcentral.